RNAcentral lists this ribosomal RNA (487 nucleotides) under Asphondylia pilogerminis. RNAcentral describes it as "partial large subunit ribosomal RNA". The stretch from base 319 to 476 matches the Rfam family "Bacterial large subunit ribosomal RNA", at positions 2473 to 2632 of the family's 2925-position model. The record is from RNAcentral. Lineage: Eukaryota; Metazoa; Arthropoda; Insecta; Diptera; Cecidomyiidae.
GAAAGGCCGCAAUAUUUUAAUUGUGCUAAGGUAGCAUAAUCAUUAGAUUUUUAAUAAUGAUCUGGAAUGAAUGAUUAAAUGAAAUAAUAACUUUUUUAUAUUUAUAAUUUGAAAUUUAUAUUUAAGUUAAAAAGCUUAAAUUUAAAAAUUAGACGAGAAGACCCUAUAGAAUUUAAUUAUAAAUAAAAAUUUAAAUUUAAAAUUUUUAAAUAAUUUAGUUGGGGAGAUUAUAAAAUUUAGUAAACUUUUAAAAUUAAUUUCAUUUAUUUUUGUUUAUUUGAUCUUUUUUUAAGAAAAGAAAAAUUAAAUUACCUUAGGGAUAACAGCAUAAUUUUAAAAAAAAGUUCUUAUUUUUUUUAAUGUUUAUGACCUCGAUGUUGGAUUAAAUAAAUUUUAAUUGAAGAUAAUUAAAUUAAUAGUCUGUUCGACUAGUAAAAUUUUACAUGAUCUGAGUUCAAACCGGUGUAAGCCAGGUCGGUUUCUAUCU